CAGCCGCCACGGGAAUACGAAGGGUGCAAGCGUUAAUCGGAAUUACAGGGCGUAAAGCGUGCGUAGGCGGUUUGUUAAGUCUGCUGUGAAAUCCCCGGGCUCAACCUGGGAAUGGCAGUGGAUACUGGCAAGCUAGAGUGUGUCAGAGGAUGGUGGAAUUCCCGGUGUAGCGGCGAAAUGCGUAGAGAUCGGGAGGAACAUCAGUGGCGAAGGCGGCCAUCUGGGACAACACUGACGCUGAGGCACGAAAGCGUGGGGAGCAAACAGGAUUAGAUACCCCCGUAGUCCCUGUCUCUUAUAC
Molecule: ribosomal RNA, 301 nt
Filed under: uncultured bacterium
Lineage: Bacteria
Description: partial 16S ribosomal RNA
Rfam family: Bacterial small subunit ribosomal RNA
Source: RNAcentral